GUGGAGUGGGAAUAAAGUAGUAACCUCACUUGGUUGCAAAAUGUUGAUUUAACAGCUUUUUAGUUCACUUAGAAUGGAUAAAAAAGAUCUAUUUUGAUUAGGUUCCCCGCCAAAAUCCCGCCAGAGAACUCUGACGGGAUUUUUAAU
Molecule: small RNA, 147 nt
Filed under: Enterococcus faecalis
Lineage: Bacteria; Bacillati; Bacillota; Bacilli; Lactobacillales; Enterococcaceae
Also listed under: 2 other names
Description: Listeria sRNA rli38
Rfam family: Listeria sRNA rli38
Source: RNAcentral